GAGGAAUAUUGGGCAAUGCCCGCAAGGGUGACCCAGCAACGCCGCGUGGAGGAUGAAUGUCGUAAGAUUGUAAACUCCUGUUAGAGGGGAAGAAUAGUACCGGUUGGACCGGUAUAUGACUGUACCCUCAGAGAAAGCCCCGGCUAACUACGUGCCAGCAGCCGCGGUAAUACGUAGGGGGCAAGCGUUGUCCGGAUUUACUGGGUGUAAAGGGCGCGCAGGCGGGAUAAAAAGUCAGUGGUGAAAUCCUAGAGCUUAACUGUAGAACUGCCUUUGAUACUUUUAUACUUGAGUGCGGGAGAGAGAGACGGAAUUCCAGGUGUAGUGGUGAAAUACGUAGAUAUCUGGAAGAACACCAGUUGCGAAGGCGGUCUCUUGGUCCGACACUGACGCUGAGGCGCGAAAGCGUGGGGAGCAAACA
RNAcentral lists this ribosomal RNA (421 nucleotides) under uncultured bacterium. Its description in RNAcentral is "bacterial SSU rRNA". It matches the Rfam family "Bacterial small subunit ribosomal RNA", at positions 356 to 774 of the family's 1533-position model. The record is from RNAcentral.